Mustela lutreola (European mink) is the source of this 13878-nucleotide RNA transcript. It is a transcript of the gene named endogenous retrovirus group K member 19 Env polyprotein, with no coding region annotated. The record is from RefSeq and is a predicted model, not a curated record. Lineage: Eukaryota; Metazoa; Chordata; Mammalia; Carnivora; Mustelidae. The transcript has 2 exons.
UUUAUGAUGUAAACAAACAAAAACAGACAAACACAAAGACUGAAUAAAGUAUAUGACAAGAGGAAAAAAUAUAUAUAUAUGCAAAUAAAGGAAGAACCUCGUCAAAAAGAACCCCAAGCAUAAGGUUUAUAUACUAUCAGGACAAACACAAAAACAGAGAAACAAUGGUGGAAGAAAAAUACGGGAGAGUGGUUAUAAGUUCGCAUUGUGGGCGAGGACGGUUGUUUUGAUUCCUCCUGGAUGUAUCUUGAUAUCUUUGUUAAAUGACUCAACUUUCCUAAGAAAAAGGCGGAUUAAAAAUUGGUUUACCUAUAGGGGUAGUAUUGAUUGGGGAAAGGGGAUUAUUUUGAAUUUUAACUCUAUAUGAAUAUUAGAAAAUAAAAAUAAAAAGGAAUAAACUAGACUAAACUAAACUAAAAUUUGUUUUAAAAAAUUCAAAAAAUAGAAAUCCAAAAGAAAAACACAGGUGUAUGUAUCAAAAAGUUCAGGUUAGAAGGUUAUUAUGAAAUUUGAUGUACUGGACAUCUCACUGUGAUGGUAAAUAGGUUAAAAAAUUAUCUAUAUAUAAAAAAAAAAGAACCAGAAUAGUGGGAAGGCAUUAAAAAUAAAAGUUGUCCUAUGAAGUAGUAGUGGUUGUUCUCUUGUAGUCUUUUAUUUUUUUUCUCCUUUCUUGGUUGGUUUUCUGGGGGAGGGGCCUGCCAUGUGGGUUUUCAAUGACGUUCCCUGAGUUAAGUUCCCCUGCCCCCCUCAAGAGGGUGGGCUCUGAAGAAACUGUUUUUUUUCAGGGUUUUGUUCUCUGGCGGUUUUUAUGUUUAUUCACUAUUUUUUUUCCUCUCACCUUGACCGCUUUUGAUGGUUUUUGUAGUUUUAGAGGAAAACAAACUGUAUCCUGGCCUCCCUCUCAGAGAGAAGCCUCAGUCUGGCUGCAGAGCCCAAACAAGUUCCCCUUUGGCCACUGGCAGAUUAGGUUCCAAGUCGCGGUCCCUGGGGACGCAGGAUCUUUUGCUUGUACCCAAAACCAUGGAAGCUGUCUGGGCAGCUCCAGACCGCCAGAGAGGUUACAAGCAGCAACUGCACACUGAGAUUUUCCUGCUGGCCCGGGCUGGGAGUGCCUGGUCUUUCUGGGUCUAAGAGCGCCCAGCUUGCGCGCUUCGAUUUCAGGGGAGGUUGUGGGUCACGCAUGCUUUUCAGUCUCUGAGAAUGGGGCGCAGGUCCAAAAAAACCAGGCUGGGCCUUCAUGCACCUCUUUCAGGGGAGAUUUUGGGGUGCUCGCCUUAGGCUCUGAAACAAUGGCUCGGGUCAAAGAGCAAUGGCAGGGCCUUUGUGUACCUCUUUCAGGGGAGAAUGAGGGGCAUGCGCAAUUCAGGCUGUAUAGCAGGGCUUGCGCAUUCUGUCCUCUGGUGAGGCACCCAGCCCCUCCCAGGAGCUGGACCCCAGGCAUUCAGGGGCGCUCUGGCAGCUUAGGGACCAAGACCUGGUUUCUCCACCGCACUCUCUGGCUCAGAGGCAGGGGAGGCUGUCCUGGGACCAAGGACUUAAGCCCCUGUCCCUAGCCGCCGGAUUCCCACAAUCUUUUGCUCUUUUGAAGUGCUUUCAACCAGUCUCCAAGUUAAUGCUGGUCCCUAGACACAGGGCACUCUCGCUUGUAUUAGGGGUAUUACUUUCCAACCGGUCGCCUCUGGUGGCUCCCUCCCCCUUUUGUUUAUCUUCUGAUAUCAUUUUGCCAUUCCUGAUGAAGUCCCAAAACCUAGGUCAGGUUCAAUGGGGUGAGGUUCAGAGCCCACGGCUAAGAAAGAAUUCUUUAGACAUCUUUGGUGCAAAACGGUGGUUUAUUAGAGCACGGGGACAAGACCCGUGGGCAGACGGAGAUGCUACUGCCCAGGGCCUGUGAGGAGUGGCUGGUUAUAUACACAGGAGUUGGGUAGGUGAGGACAAAGGGGUGUUCAGAAGGGCUAUUGGGGUAAAGAAGACUGCCAGGAUAUUGAAGGCCUGGUUACUAUCAAGCCAAGGCCACUUUCCCUCUAAUGAGGCACUAACAUAAAGACAAUUGGGAGUCUGCUGGUGGAAUGUUACAUUCCUGCUAUCAAACGUCCUUGUUAGUGAGAUUUAGGUUUACAAGAAAUUUAACUUUAUUUACUUUUCCUUCUACCUCAGUCUCCUUCAGUUUUUAUGGAGGGGAGGGUGACAUUAGAGCUUGAGGAAUUGAGUUAUGUGCCUUUGGAAAUUGAGCUAUUGAUAAGGUAACUUCUUUGUUGUAAAUCUCAAGGACAUUUGCCAUCCAAGGGAGACUCCUGCUUACAGGACUGUGAUCUCUGCAAGAUAACCAUUUGUUCUUCUUUUAGGGCAGUCAGGGGUGCCUGAAGAAUGUCACACAUAUUACCAAGGGGAGUGGGUGGAGAGGGGGUGCAAGGAGCCAGCCCCUGCUCUGUCCUCAGCCAGCCUCCUGCUCCCUCAUCAAUUCCCACUCUGCUUUACCUGUCCACUGGCAUCUUCUGCCCCUGUAGACAUCCAGACGUGUAUAAUUCUGAUCUCAGGCUGAUUUCAUGGGUGAUCGGAGUUCUUUGGUUGGUAAUCAGCUCACUUUAGGGUACAGGUUUAAAAGGCGCCUCCUCCUACUUCCCUGCCAUCUUGUCCCCCUAAGAGCCUCUUUUUAUUCACAUUUGCUUCAAUAGGCACUGCCAAGAUGCUUCACUUCCUCUCACUUACCAUGUCCACCAAUUAUGCUGGCUUCAAUACAUAGCUAUAGCAACACAAUGAAUACAUGCCAUGCAUUUGUACACAUACAUUUUCUAGAGCCAUGAGACACAGGCUAAGCCUCUCAGGUGCCACUUGAAAGAGAUCACUGGUUUGGUUUCACAAGACUUUCAAUGUUAUGGGUCUGGACACUGGUUCCAGUUCCCCAGAGAAGGUGAGGAUGAUAAAAUGCAAUAGCAUAUUUAGAGUGAGGUCCCCACACUUUGGAGAUCAUAAAGGAAUCAAAAUGGGAAGUGGUAGGCUAAGCAUGAGGUGGUAUCUGGGAAGCCAUGUGACUUCAGAGCACUCAGAUGCUGCAAUGUAGACUGACACCCAGCACGAUGGAGGCCCAGCUGAGCUGGCCCAGGUAGGUAGGGAUCCUGUAGUAGGGUUGGCUGAGACCCCACUGUCCCUCAGAGCACCGCUGUCCAUCAUCCUGUGCUUUAGAACUGCUGAGGAAUGGGACCAGGUGCCCUAUCUGUAGGAAGUAGUGUCCUUUUUCAACCUGGAUUCACCAGCUGAGGAUAGAUGUUGAGGCAAGAAAAGGCUGGCGUUAUUUCCCGGCCACUGCCCAUGUGGAAGCAGUAUCAUGCGCUUCUCUACAAACCAUGCAUGUUUUGCUCAGUGCCAGGCCAAACUAUCCUUGGCUGAUGAUGUCUCUUAACCACAGGAAAGGCUUUCUGAUUUUAACACUUCUCACAGGGCAAUGUCUAUGGUGCCUCUGGGACCUCUAGCAAGUGUGGAGGAAUGGACUCUCAUCUUUGCAGCAGAUUGGGAGCUGCAAAUGGGAGAAAGCCCAUUCUUCCUGCUGCUUCAAGCAGCUCUGCUGACUCAUCUUUUCAUGUGACUCUUGAUAGCUUGGUCACAAGCCUAGGGUGCACAGCAGAGCCCUUACUGACUUCACUGGGAGAAAAAACUACAAGGUGAGAGUCCAUUAUCUGGCCUGCUAGGGGCUCCCUAAGCUGCAGUGAGCACUGGGCUGUGGCAGAGCCAAGGGCGCAGGGAGAGCCUGUCAGGAGGAUGAGCUGAGGGGAGGUGCUGCUGUCCUGAGGAGCCACUGGUGCCACCAGGCUAGAGGCAAAUGUUCCCCACCAGCAGGGCUGCUGAUGUCCCUGCUCAGAGCUGUUGCACAUGAGGCAGCUAGAUCCCACCACUCUCUCUGCUCAGGGACCGGUGCACUCCCAAGUUCACUUUGGAGCGAAAUGAUGACUUCUGUACCUUCCCAGAAACAGAAAUCUUAAUAUGAAACAUGCACAUGUAGAAACAGCUUGUUGUAGGAAGGAGGGAACAUCAUGCAGGAAAGUCCCCUGUUCAGGCAUGUCCCAUUUACUUAGUGAGGAGAGGGAGGGGCUUGGAUAUGUCCUAAGUCUAGUACCACCUCUUACAGAUGAGGGACAGGAGCUUGCAGAGACUGGGGUCCAGAUAGAGUCAUACGGCUGGUUAAUGGCAAGCCCAGGAUUAGAACUGAGGUCUCCAGCCCUCUCCCGUGGCCUAGGAGAAGGUGAAGGUACCCAUGGACAUUGCCAGAACUGAGAGAUCACAUUUAUUUUAUUGAGGAAGUACUCAUGUUUCCUAUGUGAGUAAGGCACAAAUAUUGGCCUGGGAGAACUCAUGAAACGCUUUUCUAACCUGGAAGUUCAGGAUCUCCCAACUCAGCUGUGACUAGCCUGAUCAGGGCUGGGUGGCUAGCUGGUAUGCCUACUUGCAAGCACCAAGUCUUAACACAAUAAAGAGUGUACCCAUUUCCCCUGCAGGCAAAUUUGGAGGAUAGUGGACUUCCUAGUCCACAAGAGGCAGGAUGACUGGCCAGUGACUCCUCCAGUAAGAGAGACCCAAAGCCCUGGAUCCUAAACAGGCAACAGCUUCAAAUGAGGACUGACUCACCAGUUUGCAACUGCUGCUUCAGAAUGAUUUAUGGGGGCUGGGCUUCCACUAUCCUCUAGUCUCAACCAACAUUUGGAGACAGGCACUAACUCCCCAGGCCUAGAGGGCCCUGACACCUAUGGUCUGCUGAAGGUAUGUGUGCUGGACAUGUGCUGCUGUGCAGAUUGGUGCUGUCAGGGAUCCAGAAAGACAAGGGUCUGAAGAGCCCAGGUCACAGGAUUCAGCUCUUUGCAGGACCCAGUGUGUGCCUAAUUGCAAGCUCUACUCUGCACAAAUGUGCAUAAUCCCCCUGAAGGCAGAGAUGGAGGAAAUGGUUCUGCCUUCGCAGGAUCAGCCCAGCUGACUGCCUAGAGUAUCCUUCACAAGAAAGUUGAUUACUGGUGAGCCCAGGACACCAUCAGGCAGCCAGUCCCAAUUAGGACUGAUGGUCCUCAGUUGAAAAUUGCCACCUCAGGAAGAUUUUGGGGGAGUAGGCUCUGUCUACUCUGGAUGCUAUGCAGUUUUGGGGUCCAGACUGAGCUCAACAGGCCUGGGGGGCCCCAAGAGCCAAAGGCCAACUAUCAGAGUACAGACCACAAAACCAUGGGUGACACAGUUCAGAAGAGUCUGGAAUCUGAACCAGGCCAUCUGUAGGGAGAGGCUGGGUUCCAGUAGUGGGAUAUUGGGUGUUCCUGGCCACUGCCUCAUUCCAAGAGCUAAUCUACACAAAUGUGGUUAUUUUUGUUCCUGAAGACACACCUGGAGGGCUCUGGGUUGCCUUGUCAGAGCAGGGCAGUGCAGGAUGGUUUGAGAUAUUCUCUAGUAGGAGAUAGCCACGAGUCUUGAUUAUAGAAUGCCCAGAACUUCAUCAGGGAGCCAGUCCAAGUGGGGAGUAACUGUGCUGGCUGAAAGCUGCCACCCCAGAAAGAUUUUCUGGGUAUCAGCCUUGUCCACACUGGUGACCCUGCAGGUUUGGGAAUCCAGCCUGAGCCCAGCUGGCAUGGAGGUCCUAGCAGCCCAAUGUUGCUGGCUGACACAGUACAGACCCUCUUAGAACACACUGCUUGUCCCUCCUGCUUUAGUAUUUAAAGGGCUGACUAAACUCCCAUUUCCUCUCCUAUUGUGUUAUUAGUCACCAUUCAGUGCACCAUUAGUUUUUGAUGUAGUGUUCCAAGAUUCAUUGUUUGCAUGCUAUACCCAGUGCUCCAUGCAAUCCUUGCCAUCCUUAAUACCCAUCACCAGGAUAACCCAUUGCCCCAUCCCUCACCACCCUCCCCUCUAAAAUCCUGAGUGUGUUUCCUGAAAUCCAUAGUCUCCAAUGGUUCAUCUUGCACUCCAAUUUCUCCCCCUUCAUUUUUCCCUUCUCCUGAUGUCCUCCAUGCUAUUCCUUGUAUGUUUCACAAAUAAGUGAAACCAUAUGAUAAUUGAUUUUGUCUGUUUGACUUAUUUCACGUAGCAUAAUCCUCUCAUAUCUUUACCAGAUGGACCUAAAUGGUGAUCAUCUGCAUGUCUCCGUACUUAUUCUCUGUAUUAUAUUAUGGGUACAGCUUGGAUUUAGGGACUCUCUGGGUUUUCCUUCUCACCUCCUGCUUUUCCUUCCUCCUUGCCUGCUAAGUUGGUUCUGUCCACUCCUCAUCUACUCUUCCAUCAUCCCCUCCACACACAUCAGCUCCGUGCCUGUUGUGUGUAGUCAGCAUGACAGGCACUGAGCAUACUGACCUCUAGGAAUACCUGUUUACCAUUUUUUCUAACAGCCAAGUUGGGUAUCUAGGCUUUCUACCAGUAACUAAAACUAAUUGAAUUUAAGCUAGAAAGUUACUAACAUUUUCAUUUAGGUCGAAUUAAUUAAUUUAAUUAAAAUGUGACAAUCAGUUGUCAAGCUAGAAUGAUCUUUUUAUAGAACUUGUGUUGGUAGAAUACCAAUUCCUAUUUUUGUCCAGCUGAUUUCAAAAUAGAAAUGAUAAUACAGUAACCCUGAGCUUCUAAAUAGACAUUUCACUGAAAAAGAUACAGGAAAUAGAAAAUUUUACUACUCUGUUCAUUCCUGUUUUUGCAUUAUAAAUAAUAACCUGAUGCUAAUAAAAUUUAUUAUUAAGGAACCAUUAGGGAAGAAACAAAUAAGUAUGGCUUAUGACUUGACAGCUGUAGGAAAUAAUUUUAGUAGCUGAAAGUGUCCUAGGUCUUUUUUAUAUUAAAAAAAUAAGUAUGAGGGCACCUGGGUGGUUCAGUGGGUUAAAACCUCUGCCUUCAACUCAGGUCAUGGUCCCAGGAUCCUGGGAUCGAGCCCUGCGUCAGGCUCUCUGCUUAGUGGGGAGUCUGCUUCUUCCUCUCUCUCUCUCUCUCUCUGCCUGCCUCUCUGCCUACUUGUGAUCUCUGUCUGUCAAAUAAAUAAAUAAGAUCUUUAAAAUAUAUAUGUAUAAGUAUGCUUAAAAUAUGACUUCUAACCUUUUGAAAUGUGUGAGAGGUGAAAAGAAAUGGGGUCACUUAUGUUGAGAGGUUUUAAAAUGGAGCCCAAGACCAUUAAGGAGGUGGGUCUUACACUUGUCGUCACUGAGUGGAAAAAUGAACUUUUGAACAAGGCCAAACCAGGAAUAUUCCAGGGUCUCUGUAGGAACUUCUGCAACUUGCAGCAGUAAUGGACUUUUGCUCAAUGAUGGCUCUAGCCAUCAGAGAACCAGUUCUGUUUAGCUGAGAUUAGUUUUCUACCACCAACACCAAUCAUAACUAUUUUUAACAAUGUAUAUAAGCAUUCCUUGUUGUUGUAAAAACCCUCAAUUUUUUUGUUCCCUAGUGGGACACAAUUUGGGUUACUACCUGAAUCUAUAUUCCUGAAUUGCAAUUCUUUUUUAAAAAUUUAUUAUUUAUUUUCAGCAUAACAAUAUUCAUUAUUUUUGCACCACACCCAGUGCUCCACGCAAUACGUGCCCUCUAUAAUACCCACCACCUGGUACCCCGACCUCCCACACAUCCCCCGCUCUUUCAAAACCCUCAGAUUGUUUUUCAGAGUCCAUAGUCUCUCAUGGUUCACCUCCACUUCCAAUUUCCCCCAACUCCCUUCUCCUAUCUCCCCAUGUCCUCCAUGCUAUUUGUGAUGCUCCACAAAUAAGUGAAACCAUAUGAUAAUUGACUCUCUCUGCUUGAGUUAUUUCACUCAGCAUAAUCUCUUCCAGUCCCAUCCAUGUUGCUACAAAAGUUGGGUAUUCGUCCUUUCUGAUGGAGGCAUAAUACUCCAUAGUGUAUAUGGACCACAUCUUCCUUAUCCAUUUGUCCGUUGAAGGGCAUCUUGGUUCUUUCCACAGUUUGGCGAGCGUGACCAUUGCUGCUAUAAACGUUGGGGUACAGAUGGCCCUUCUUUAUUGAAAUUCUAAGACCCCAAAUAAGUGCUUUUGUUUUAUUUCAAUUUUGCUUCUUUUUUCAAGUGACAAGGGGUAGUUAGUAAAGCAAGGUAUUAUUACAUCCAAGCUUUAACUGCAAAUAGAGUUAUUGAGUGCUCUAAGAGGAUGCUAACCAUCCUGGAGAAUUGUUACCUUUGAUACCUGCUCACUGUGGAUGAGAGACAAAGGAAAUGUAUGUCUUCCUCCUUUCCAAGCAUGUCCUUGGAGGUGUUGAAUGGAUAGGAAGGGAGCUGCCACUCUACUGUGAUCUGGUGUCCACACACCCUGGGCCCACUGCAAUAUUUGUUAUCUGUGAUGCCAGACCUGCAAGGGGCUGAAAAUAGUCCUUAUAUUUUUAAGGGGACAGAAUACUUUGUUGAGAUGAGUAAGCCUUAAUGGUGUUUUCAAAUUAUGCCUCAAAAUGCUUACACACUACUCUGUUGGGUCUUUGAGCAGAAGGGUUCUUUGUUGUAGUAUGCAGUGAGGGAGUGGACAUGUAUGGAAAAUAAUUUUGUGGCUUUACACAGAAUUAUAUACAGAGAGUCAAAAUAAUGAUGUUUAUCAGUAAGUCUAUAGCAAGGUUAUGGCAAUAAUGCAGGCUUACAGUCCUUUGACUUGCCUUUCUUUUAAGGUACCCCCCUGAUCUCUUCUUAGUACCCUGGUUUCCCAGGUACAAAAGUGAAUCCAGUCUCACUAGGAAGCUGCUCCCUCCACAUCUCAUCCAUCGGUGACUCUACAGAAAUGUCAGUUGCAGCAACUACCUUUUCUCCUAGUAGUGAUACUCUGCAUCUUUAGAGCUUUUCUUUAUCAUUAGAGCUGAAGAAAAUCCCCAUGCUGCAGGAUCCAUCCAUACAGUGGUGUGAAGGUGCUUUGGGUGUUCAUAAUAGUUGCUGCUGAGAACAGUGAUUUUUGUUUGUUUGUUUUGGUUUGGUGUUUUGAGAGAGAGGGAACAUGCAGGUAGUGAGAGAUAGAGGGAGAGAGAGAAUCCUAAGCUGGCUCCACACUCACCAUGGAGCCACCACAGGCCUCCAUCUCACAACCUGGAACAUCAUGACUUGGGUUGAAAUCAAGAGUCAGAUGCUUAAUCAACUGAGCAACCCAGGUGCCAUAAGAUCUUGAUAGUUCUGAUCAAUCAUUAUUUGUUGCUGAAGGGGAUUUGGAUUUGUUGCUGAAGGGGAUGGACUGCCAAUACCUGAUGUGAAAUUGGAAACUUGUGUUUAUGAACACUAAAACGGUGGAUGUUUGUGCAGUGGAUGGUGACUUAGUUUAUGUAAAUACAGGGAAGGGAAACCUGUGUUGCACAAUGUGUGACCCAAGGCUUUAGAGUAUAUGGAGUCCUUCCAUAGGACUGAACAAGAUCUGUUAAUUCAUUAUGUAUGAUAUAAGUCACCUCCUCUUCUUGCAUGGAUUAUAGAAUUGCAUUUUGGGGAGGGAGGCAAGAUGGCAGAAGAGUAGGGGACCUCAUUUUAUCUGGUCCCCAGAAUUUAGGUAGAUAACUAUCAAAUCAUUCUGAACACCUAUGAAUUCAAACUGAGAUGUAAGGAAAGAAUUACAGGAAUUCUACAAACCAAAAAGUGACUACUUUUUGAGAAGUAGGAUGUCUGGAGAAUCUGAGGGGAUAUCUCAGAAGAUAAUCAGUGGAGGGAGGGAGCCUCUGUAAACUGUCUACUAGAAAGUGAUAUAGCCCCAGAGCCCAAUAUUAGAACCUUUAUAAAUCUGCUCCAAUGAGAGACAUCUGUGCCUGAAAGGUGCUCAGGUUGGGAAGCAGGGCAGAAUCCUAGGUGUGACAGUAUGGUCUUAGAAUCUCCAGGGUCACAGAAAGAACAGGGGUGCAUGAGCAGACAGAGUUCCUAAGCAUUGGAAUGAAGAAAGAAGUGAGGGUCAGCAAACCCGGGAGAGGACCCUCAACUCAGUUCGCCAUAAACCAUGAACUGCAGCAUGAUCCGGUGACAGCACUCCUGCAGGCGUCCUGCAAAGGAGGGAAAAGUGGCAGCCCUGUGACUUCCUCCAGCAGGGAUGGCAUGGGAGUGUGCACAAUUGGGCAAUUCCUCAGAGUGUAGGGGUACUGAAAAGGACAGAAAACCUGUAGCCAUAUGCAUUCCCCAGGAAGGACAGCAUGGAGGAGUGCAUGACCAGGUGACCACUCUCUGUGUGGAGAUCCUACAAAGGACAGAAAUUCAGGGAGCUUUUGCAUUCUGCUAAUAUGAUCCGAGCAAGCACACACCACAGGAGUCUCUAGACUUUGGCACACACAAAAGUGAAGACUACUUAUCCCAGAGGGUUUAGUGAAGAGAGGGGACUGCCAUCUCUUGGCUCCAGGACUCAAAAUCAGGCAAGGCCUUACUUGUUUUCAUCCUCUAGCGAGACGCAGAACACCUUUGGGAAACAAAAGCCACACAGAGCAAUCAGUAACAGCUCAGCCCAAGUCCAGCCCCCUGACAAGGGGCUGUGCAAUUCUGCCCAGGCAAAGGCACCUGAGAUUCAGGGCAGCAGGCCCCUUCCCCAGAAGACCAGAUGAAACAACUGGGAACACCAAGUUUACAGAGCACACAGGACUGCAAAACUCUAGGACUAGGGGAAAAUAAUACAGAGAAUUUAAGGUGUUUUUUCUUUUUUUUGUGAUUUGUUUACCUUUCAUUUAAAAUUUUUCCUUUUCUUAUUUCUUUUAUUUCCUUUUCAAUUAGUUUCUUACUUUAUUGAUCCUUUGUUUUUGCCUUUUUUUUUUUAAAGGCAGACUGCCAUGUGCAGAGCCUCAUUUGGGUGUGUCUGGGGUGUUGGAAGCUUGACUACCCUAUGUUCUCCUACAAAUGGACCUUGAGAGCUUGUUGGAGGUUCUAGCAGGGGAGCGCAGCUACUUGUAUACCCUUGACACAAGAGCGGUCCUCUCCUCUAUUGGGAAAGGUCAUCCUCUUUGACUGCAUGCACAACUUUGGGAGGGAUGUACAUGGAGUGGUGAGGGAGAAAGGGGACACCCGCCUAGCCAGCCAGAUCAGCCGAAUCAACUCUGGCGAACAUUGGGGUGACAGAUGCUGUAGUCAGAUCGCCCUCACAUCUUUAAGUUUUUUUAAUGAACAUAUAAUGUAUUAUUUGUUUCAGGGGUACAGGCCUGUGAUUCACCAGUCUUAACACAAUUCACAUCAUUCACCAUAGCACAUACCCUCCCCAAUGUCCACCACCCAAUCAUCUUACCCCUCCCAGUGUCCACCACUCCAGGAACCCGCAGUUUUUUCCUGAGAUUAAAAGUCUUUUAUGGUUUGUCUCCCUCACUGGUUUCAUCCCAUUUUAUUUCAUUUUUUCCUCUCAUCCCCCAUGAUCCUCUGCCCUAUUUCUCAAAAUCCACACAUCAGCGAAAUAAUACAAUAGUUGUCUUUCUCAGGUUGACUUAUGUCUCUUAGCAUAAUACCCCCUAGUUCCAGCCAUGUCAUUGCAAAUGGCAAGAUUUCUUUUUUUUAUUGGCUGCAUAAUAUUCUAGUGUGUGUGUGUGUGUGUGUGUGUGUGUGUGUGUGUAGAUAUAUAGUUAGAUAGAUAGGUGAAUAUAGAUAUAGAUGAUAUAGAUAUAGAUAUAUCAAGCACAUCUUCUUUCCCCAUUCUUCUGUUGAUGGACAUCUAGGCCCUUCCCUAGUUUGGUAUUGUGGACAUUGCUGCUAUAAACAUCAGGGUGCAUGUGCCCCUUUGGGUAACUAUGUUUGUAUCUUUGGGAUAAAUACCCAGUAGUACGAUUGCUGGGUCAGAGUAACUCUUAUUUUCAACUUUUUGAGGAACCUCCAUACUGUUUGCCAGAGUGGCUGCAUCAGCUUGCAUUUCCACCAACAGUGCAAGAGGGUUCCCCAUUCUCUACGUCCUCGCCAACAUCUGUCGAUUCCUAAAUUGUUUGUUUUAGCCUUUUUUUUUUUUAACCAUUUUUGACUGGUAUGAAUUGGUAUCUCAUUGUGGUUUUGAAUUGUAUUUCCUUCAUGCCAAGAAAUGUUGGGAAUUUCUUCAUGUGUUUGUUGGCCAUUUGGAUGUCUUCUUUGUACUUCCUUCACCUCCUUGGUUAGGGUUUUUGCAAGGUAACUUGUGGAGAGCCAUUCAGCAGAUGCAAGGAGUCACGUAGACGGCAGUGCCUGUAGAUUGAGGAAAUGAGAAUGAUUGGUUUAGGAGGAUGUGGGUGCGCUCGUGGCUGACGCAUGAGCAGCACCAGGAGCCAAGAGAGAAACGCAUGAUCACCGCUAGAGAACAAUAGAGUCCUGUAUGGUUACAUAAGAGUGCCACGAGGACGCUGCGUGCACGGCAUUGUGAUUGGGCGAGAGGGGAGGGGUGAACGCGCGUGCAUAAAUAUCGCUGUGUGCUUGGUUUGCGCGCGGCCGCCAUUAUUAAAAAGAAGCUUGCCACUCACCUCGUCUGUGGGUCGUUCUUGUGGGCCGAGAGCGACAACUGGUGCCGAAACCCGGGAUCCCUACCUUUAGACGCAGAACGAGGAUCGAGGUAAGAGCAACGAUAAGGAUGCGCCUGCUCCACUCUGGGUGCCGGAAUGCCUCACCAGGCUGGUGGCCGUGGAACCUGUGGAGGAUGCUGGUGAUGAUGAUGAUAGCGACGACGACUGUCCUGCAGCCUGUUCCCAUGAAGGCGGAGCCAGUUCAACUGUGGCCAAGACAAGAGACUGCCCAGCUUCAGGCCCUUCUUCAAAUGGCUCAGCAUAGAGUGCAUUCUUCUCACCCGAACUCAUGUUUGCUACUGACGCUUAUUUUAAUGCAACAGGUGUUGGCAGCCCAGGGCUCAUUAUAUUGGGCAUACGUCCCCGAUCCACCCCUGUUACAGCCCGUGGGUUGGGAUGUGAGUUCUAUUCCUGUAUAUGUUAAUGAUACUGUCUUGCUAGGCCCUCCCUCUUCUGUUCAUCUCCGGCCACAGCAGGCUGCCAUAUCUUACAAGGGCUAUUCUGAUGUAUAUCCCAUAUGCUUUGCGAUGAAGCGCACAAUACCACACUGUUUAAGUGUUUCCCCGUGAUCUGGUUAUAGUGAUGUGAGUAUAGCUGGCGUGACGCAUGGUAUGUUGUAGGAACAAUUAUAGGAGUGCUAGUGGUAAUUGUUCUUUUCAUGUGCCUCUUGCCUUGUGCGGUUAAAAUUAUACUCGCAGAAGUUUAUAAGUUAAGAGCCAUCAUACGUAACCAUCAGCUAAUCAACCGCGGUGGGCUCAGAAUGUCACCUUGAACACCACCCAGGUAUCUCUUGGCUCCGUCAGUGAUUUGGUUAGUAUGUUAUAACAAUCAGCCUCAUUCCUCAAAAACUGGGCAGGCAUAGGAGCCCUGAUUAUGUUGAUGAUUCUGGCUCAAGUGCUCCUUCUACAAUGCAUCGCGUGACAACAACGGCUACAGCAACGGGCUUUGGUCUAAGCCAUGAUGGCUCUGGAGGCUGGCACCUCCCCCCCCAAAUAUGGCUUAGUAUGCUGGAUCGGUAGCCAAAGACGGGUAAGACUGAUCCCUCACCAUAGCAACCUAAGACAGGGGCUCCUCGGCCAGGGGGAGUACCCGAUGAUGGGUAAGCAUGUGUGCUGAGGAUUGGCAACCUAAGACAGGCACGAUCCCUGCCAUAUAAACAAUAAAAAAGGGGGAGCUGUGGAGAGCCAUUCAGCAGAUGCAAGGAGUCACGUAGACGGCAGUGCCUGUAGAUUGAGGAAAUGAGAAUGAUUGGUUUAGGAGGAUGUGGGUGCGCUCGUGGCUGACGCAUGAGCAGCACCAGGAGCCAAGAGAGAAACGCAUGAUCACCGCUAGAGAACAAUAGAGUCCUGUAUGGUUACAUAAGAGUGCCACGAGGACGCUGCGUGCGCGGCAUUGUGAUUGGGCGAGAGGGGAGGGGUGAACGCGCGUGCAUAAAUAUCGCUGUGUGCUUGGUUUGCGCGCGGCCGCCAUUAUUAAAAAGAAGCUUGCCACUCA